RNAcentral lists this unclassified non-coding RNA (268 nucleotides) under Hevea brasiliensis (rubber tree). Lineage: Eukaryota; Viridiplantae; Streptophyta; Magnoliopsida; Malpighiales; Euphorbiaceae. The record is from RNAcentral.
UUGAAAGCUACCAAUGAGUUUUAAUUCAAUGGUACUUGAGUUGUCUCUAGAACUUUAAAGUCACAAUUUCAAAUCUCAUCGAAGCCAAUUGUACCGAAACAAAAAAGGUAUGAAUGGGGAGCUUAUACAAUAAAGUUCUAAGAAGAGAAUUAAAAUCAGGUUGGUAAUCACCCUUUUCUCCGCCUAACCUAAGCCCAAGAACUUUUACAAAGCAUGAGGCAUGUUUUUGUAGCUUAAACAAAUAAUUACAGCAUCUGGGAACCUUGAA